Molecule: ribosomal RNA, 502 nt
Filed under: uncultured bacterium
Lineage: Bacteria
Description: partial 16S ribosomal RNA
Rfam family: Bacterial small subunit ribosomal RNA
Source: RNAcentral
GACGAACGCUGGCGGCGUGCUUAACACAUGCAAGUCGAACGGUGAAGGGGUCUGCUUUUGUGGGCCCUGGAUGAGUGGCGAACGGGUGAGUAACACGUGAGUAACCUGUCCCCUUCUUCUGGAUAACCGCAUGAAAGUGUGGCUAAUACGGGAUAUUCUGGGUCUGUCGCAUGAUGGGUCUGGGAAAGAUUGCGCCUUUGGGUGUUUUUGGUGGGGGAUGGGCUCGCGGCCUAUCAGCUUGUUGGUGGGGUGAUGGCCUACCAAGGCGGUGACGGGUAGCCGGCCUGAGAGGGUGGACGGUCACACUGGGACUGAGACACGGCCCAGACUCCUACGGGAGGCAGCAGUGGGGAAUAUUGCACAAUGGGCGCAAGCCUGAUGCAGCGACGCCGCGUGAGGGAGGGAGGCCUUCGGGUUGUAAACCUCUUUCGCCAGUGAAGCAGGCCUGCUCCUUGUGGGUGGGUUGACGGUAGCUGGAUAAGAAGCGCCGGCUAACUACGUG